This is a long non-coding RNA of Amphimedon queenslandica, 887 nucleotides long. RefSeq lists it as uncharacterized. The record is from RefSeq and is a predicted model, not a curated record. Lineage: Eukaryota; Metazoa; Porifera; Demospongiae; Haplosclerida; Niphatidae. The transcript is spliced from 2 exons.
AUAGAUCUAUACAUGCACCAUGAACUAAUUGCAGCCAGCCACCCACGUGUUCUCACAUUUCAAAAUGGCUGCUCAGGCAAAGUUAAGUGCCUAAAGAGGGAAAAGAGAAGCUAUCCACUCCUUCAGACCCACCAAGAAGAAAGAAAGAACAGACUAAGACAGUUUACUAGGACCAAGUAGAGCCUGAGAUACAACCAGAAAUAGAAAUACUACUAAUAAUAAAAAUGAUCUUUGAAAUCCUCGUACAGUAUUUUUUGGUAACAUUCCUCUGUCAACUAAAAAGAAGGACAUACUCAAGCUGGUCUUCCCCUGUGGUUCGGUCGAGUCGCUACGGCAACGAUCAGUUGUGGUUUCUCCUGGUAAGCUUCCUGUUAGAGUUGCUAGGAAACUUAGAAAACAGUUGACAGGGACGACUACUAAUUUCUAUGUUGUUAUGGAGACGGAGGAGUCUGCUAGUGCUUGUUUGAAGUUGAAUGGAUAAGAGGUUGAUGGGAGACAUAUUAGGGUUGAUCUGGCCACACCUACUAAUGACACUCACUGUUCUGUGUUUGUAGGUAAUGUACCUUUGUACCUUUUGGGGCCAAUAAAGAGAAACUGAGAAAAGUAUUUGAGUCCUGUCACCACUGUGGUCUUAUUGAUGGCAUUCGUAUCAUUAAAGACACUAGAACUGACAUUAACAAAAGGUUUGCUUAUGCCAUAUUCAAAGACAGCAGCUCUGUCUUAUUUGCUUGCAAGAAAAAUGAGAGGCUUGAACUAGAGGGACGGAAACUAAGAGUUUUUUGCUGUCGCAGCAAUAAGUCAAAGUUUCAGACUAAAUUUGGAGGAGCCAAGUCCCAAGUUGGUCGUAAUAAGAAGUUGCUCAAGUCGUUCCAACCUUCAAAGAAAAA